CAUCACUACGCUAGAUGCAUAUCAAUAAGCGGAGGAAAAGAAACUAACAAGGAUUCCCUUAGUAACGGCGAGUGAAGCGGGAAGAGCUCAAAUUUGAAAUCUUCAAGGUUCUACCUUGACGAAUUGUAGUUUAUAGAAGUGUUUUCCGUUAGUAGAGUGGCAAAAGUUCUUUGGAAUAGGACAUCAUAGAGGGUGAGAAUCCCGUAUUUGGUCAUUCUUUCUAGCUUUGUGAUACACUUUCAACGAGUCGGAUUGUUUGGGAAUGCAGUCCAAAAUGGGUGGUAAAUUUCAUCUAAAGCUAAAUAUUGGCGAGAGACCGAUAGCGAACAAGUACCGUGAGGGAAAGAUGAAAAGAACUUUGAAAAGAGAGUUAAACAGUACGUGAAAUUGUCAAAAGGGAAGCGUUUGACACCAGUGUUGUUUUCUCGAAGAUCAAUUAAAAAUGGUGGGAUUUUGUGUUGUAUUGGCUUUAUCAACUUUCUGCACUUUUUUCUUAUCUUUUUUAAUGCACUUUUCGUUUAACAAGUCAACAUCAAUUUCUUUUGUUGUAAAAGAGUCAUUGGAAGGUGGCUUUUUCUUCGGAAAAAGUGUUUAUAGCCUUGUGCCUCUGCAAUCGGAGAGAUUGAGGUCUGCAGCGUAGAUCCUUCGGGGUUAGAUACAUUUGUGCUAAGUUAUAGCUUUUCAUAGACAACUUGUUGACUAUGUUUAGUCUUGUAGCUUACUCGCUUACGCUAUUUUACCUACGCUUAGGAUGUUGAAGAUAUGCGCGACACG
RNAcentral lists this ribosomal RNA (774 nucleotides) under uncultured Neocallimastigales. RNAcentral describes it as "partial large subunit ribosomal RNA". It matches the Rfam family "Eukaryotic large subunit ribosomal RNA", at positions 20 to 644 of the family's 3401-position model. Lineage: Eukaryota; Fungi; Neocallimastigomycota; Neocallimastigomycetes; Neocallimastigales. The record is from RNAcentral.